UUGUCCAAAAAUAAUACAGCCUAUCGAAAAAAGAAAAAAAAUAUACAGCCUCAUAUUUCUCUCUCCCCGAUAUAUCUCCCUCUUUACUUUCGUUUUCUCUCUCCUCUGUCGCCACCGUCGCCGUCGCCGUCGCUUCCUCACCGCCGGAGAUCAUCGUCGAACAUUUGUGUCGCUGUGUAGUUGUUCAUUUUUGGUGUGGGGUUAAUAGUUGCAGUAGCUCCACUCUCCAUCUCACUUGUCUCUGCGGUCUCUCUCAUCUCUAGUCCGUACCUUUGCCGUCAACGGUGGUCGUGAAUCCACCAUCAACUUUACUCCAUUAUCAAGUGGUGAGGUCUUGAACCCAUUCCAUAAAUCAAUUAAUUGAAUUGAGUAAUUAAAAUUACCAAUUGAGAAAACCCUAACUUACUAAACGAUGCAUAUAUUGUUUCAAUGACUAGAUUAAGAUAUAUUGAUUAUGUAAUGCUAAUGUUGCCUGGCUUAUUCCUCUUUCUCUCUAUGAUUCAAUGUUUUAGUGUAAUUUCGAUUUAAAGUUCGAAUCAUAUGGUUGAAUCCAUCUUCAGUUGAUUGGUUAGUUUUUACAAAAUAAUUUUCUGAAUUUGAUUUCAUGGUUUAAAGGUCAUAGAUUGACCUUUCCAGUUGAUCAUUUUCCCAUUUUCUUUGAUUUUUUUUGGCCUGAAUUAUUUGUUUUCAUGUUUUUUGUAUCGAUUUUAUUUCUAAUUUAUGUUUUUCUUAAAUAUCAAUUUAAUUUCAAUUAUUGAUUUCGGAAUUUCUAUUGUUUAACUCUUGUUUAUCAUAUCUAUUUCUCUGAUUUUGAUUAGAAUUUAUAUCUGAUCUAUGUUCACGUGCCUAAGGAGUCACAUCAUUAUAAAUGGGAAGUUCUCAGGCGGUUUUUACAUCAAUUUAUUGUAGAUAAUUCAUGAGGUUCUACAAGUCUUAGGAAUUUAGAUGUUGAUUAGCUUGAAUAACUCAUUUGUGGAGUGAGCGCAAGGAACGAUAGAUUGCGUAGUUAGUAUGCUGGGUGUAGGGGUUGGUCUCGUAUCUGUACAAGACUAUUAGUCGGCCUAGGCUUGCAGCAGUGUGUGUGUGAGGCUGUAGGGGUUUGGUUCAUUGGGUCAAAUCCAUGGAAACAUACUAGUUCAAAGGCAAGAAAUGGGCAAGCAUAAGAUGAGAUGUCAGUCAUUUUUUUGUUUUGGCACCGUGAAAAACUUUAAGCUUGAUCACAAUCAAUAUUUCUUCUUGAUAUCCAUUUAAGUCCGACUGUUAUAAUUUCUGUGGAAGCGUCAUUUUUAUUAUUUUCUUCGAGUAGAUUACAUCAGCUGAUCAUGUUUUGAAGCGACAUCAUCUUUCAUUUUUGUCUGAUGCUCUCAUAUAAUCUCGUGUCAUUAUUCCAUCAUGUUUCAUUUUUUUUCUAUGAUCUAAAUCAUACAUCCCUGGUGGCACAAAGCAAUCAACUAAUAUCGAAACAUGAAGAUUUCGAUCGUCAUAUAUUUGAGUCUUAGACUCUCACCAAAUUGUGAUAUCGAGGUGGAUACAAAGUAAUCUUGAUACCUUUGGGAGAUUGAGCUUUGGGAGAAAGGUUUUUGAUGUUUACUAUAAUGCUUUGUUAAACUCGAUGGAUGGAUUUAAAAUGGUCUUGUCUUUAUGCAACAUUUGUCAGCUUAAUGGUGGUGGUGAGAUAGAUAAUUAACUUUUACAUGUACCAGAUUUUAUGAUGUUCCAAAAUUUGGAAUCUAAUGUUUACAGUAUGCCUACUGUCAUAAGCAGAACCGAGGUUCCGUAUUUAAAAGUUCACAACUAUCUACUUUCGGACUCUUGUGUUGUUUUUAUGUUGUCUAGCAAAGUUUGAAGUCUUUCUUAUGUGUACCAUAUAAAAGCCAAGUCUCCAAGCGUUGCAUUUGUUUUUCUCACAAUUCGGUUGAGCUUGUGUUCUUUCCAUCAAGCCGGGUAUUUCCUCAAUGUACAAGUAAUGUUCCCUUCUUUUGUUACAGCAAAUAGUCUGCUUGCUUGAGCUUGAGACAGUUCAUUCAGUCAAGCUGGGUUGAGCACUUGAGCUAGAGCUCUCUGUAUGAAUUCCUUUUAAAUGUGAACUAUUGACCUCACUUAUAAAUAUGUCGAAAUUGAGUUUGAAAAAACUAUGGCAGUCUUUUGUAUUGACUAACUAUUUACUUAUAGUAAGAUGAUUCCUAAUUCUUUUUUUUGUUAUUGUCGUAGAUGCUAGAGGCUGCAUUUAAGAAAGAAAUUGCAGGUCUUGUUACAAGGGAUGAAUAUGUUGAGAAGGUCAAAAAUUAAGAAGAAAAUUAUGGAGGACGUGAAAAAGGAACUGCAAAAGCUACUGGAAGAGAAGAAUUAAGGCAAUCUCUAAAGAUCGUGUCAGACCAUCUCCAAGUCAUGAAAGAUGGAAACUGAAUGAGAUUUUUAUUACUAGUUGUGUCAUCGGGACAUAUCUCGCCUUAGUCACUGUUAUUUAACUGGGUCGUAAAUGACAUAUAUUUCUCCAAGGAGAAUUUGGUGUGAGCUCUCUAUCUGGAAACACAGAAAAUUUCAUCUGCAAUAUAUCUGCAAGUUAGCAUCGUUAGCCAGUCCCUCAUCUUAUUACUCGCACUCAUAGCUGGUCAUUUCUGGAGAGACCAGGAGUUCUUCUCAUGUCUGCAUUCGUGGUGACGCAAUCGGUAUUCAACAAUUCGAGGGAGCAGCCCUUCACCACCGAGGAGAUAAAUGAAGUUCGAGAAAAGUUUGAUUGUCUUUGAUAUUUUCUUGUAGCGAGUCUUUAGAUUAUGGAUGCUAGUUUUUCUUAUGAUUGAAAUCAUGAAAUGUAAUCGAUUUUUAUAUUUAUAUUUAUAUAUUAUUCAAUUUAAUAUUUAUAUAAUUGGAUACUUUUUUAUGUGA
Long non-coding RNA from Spinacia oleracea (spinach), 2886 nucleotides. RefSeq lists it as uncharacterized. The record is from RefSeq and is a predicted model, not a curated record. The transcript has 5 exons. NCBI's taxonomy places the organism in Eukaryota, Viridiplantae, Streptophyta, Magnoliopsida, Caryophyllales, Amaranthaceae.